This 1480-nucleotide small RNA is filed under the name Arabidopsis thaliana (thale cress). RNAcentral describes it as "putative long intergenic non-coding RNA". The record is from RNAcentral. Lineage: Eukaryota; Viridiplantae; Streptophyta; Magnoliopsida; Brassicales; Brassicaceae.
GGAAGGCUUUAGGUCGGUUGACUUAUGUCGACCACUCUUAUCUUUCAGACUCUUAUCUUUCUGUCUCUGCUGCAAGGUAAUCACUAGUUGAUAAGAACGACUCUUCAUAGACGAACAAUGCAACUCUACCUUUGGAACAGCAAUUCUGAGCUCAGCCUCUCGCCAUUUCUUCUCCCAUCAAGAUAAGUAUUCGUGCUUUACAUUUUUUGAUUUUUGAAGUCAAGCUCUAAAUUGAGUCCCGACUCAAAAAGCUUAGUUCACCUAGCAUCGAGCUACAUUCAAAAGAUAAAAAUAAUUCUUGCAGUUAAUCCGAGCUCAACGCUCGCAGUCACACUUAUAAAUUGAGCCGAGCUCGACGCUUGCUAUUAUGUGAAAAUGUUUCACAAAAACCAAGACCUCGUCUUGCUUUAAGUCUUCAAAACAGGAUAAGCCGAGAGUUCCUCGCACCUUAAAGAAAAAAAGAGCUCAAAAGCUCACGUAUCUUGCUAACCAAAUGAUAAUGGCAUGUUUGCAGCUCAUCGCAACUUAUGUUUUUUUUAGCUCAUCUGCCCGGCUAUCUCGCAGAUCGCAAGACAAACCAUCUAGCAACCUAUAUCCUAGAUCGCUCGUCAGAUCAUCUGAUAGCUUGCCUUGCAGCUUGUUAGCAAGAUCAUUUGGUAACCUAUCUCACUGCUCGGCUCAUCAGUCAGGUCAUUUCUCUGCUAGGCAUUCAGAUCAUCUAGGAGAGCAUCCCACAGCUCCUCAACAACUCAUGAGGUCCAUCAGACUACCUAACUCACAAGCUUAGCCUUGUUUUAUAUCGUCGACGCGUGCCAAGCUAAACUGACGUAUCUUGGAGGUUCAAGGGAUCAAAUUUUAAUUCGCAUCUUCCUAACGUAUAAGCCGAAUAUUCACUUCUUUUAAUUCGGAAAAAAUCGAGUUUAGCAUUUGGAUUUUCCCGAACUGGGGGGGACUAAUUGUUGGUGCCGGAAUUAGCACCUCCGACAAUACCGGCUUAAACCAGAGGAACUACGAAUUAGACUGAGAUUUCAAUCAAACCGGGGUAUCCCGGUUUAGCUUGUUAAUGGGCCAAAAUAAGGAGGUCAUUUGCCGACUUUAGCCCCAAGUAGGGAGACCGUCUAGCCGACUUCCUAAUUCGAAGAAAAAGAAGUUUUCUCCUUUGAAAAUAGGAAGUCUUUGGAGAUAAAGGAAAUUAGAAGAUUCAAUCCUCGAAGAAAUAGAAGUUUAACAAAUCUUUUAACCGUCUUAAUAGUGUGUAAAUAGAGGGGUUUGUCCUCUAUUUGGGGGAUCCGAAAUUUAAUACUAAAAACCCUAGUUUUCUUCAUUGUUCUUGGGCAAAACCCUAACUUUGUCUCUAAGCAACCUUGUUCUUUUUUUCAUUGAAUCUUUGGUCACUAAAUAGCGAGAGAGAGUUAAGUAAAUUUGUUUACCCCCUUUAAACAAAUUUAUUGUGUGAUUUUCAGAAUCAACAAUCUCCCCC